RNAcentral lists this ribosomal RNA (468 nucleotides) under Lepidonotus squamatus. RNAcentral describes it as "SSU rRNA". It matches the Rfam family "Eukaryotic small subunit ribosomal RNA", at positions 570 to 983 of the family's 1831-position model. Lineage: Eukaryota; Metazoa; Annelida; Polychaeta; Phyllodocida; Polynoidae. The record is from RNAcentral.
GCAGCCGCGGUAAUUCCAGCUCCAAUAGCGUAUAUUAAAGUUGUUGCAGUUAAAAAGCUCGUAGUUGGAUCUCGGAUCCGGGCGAGCGGUCCGCCUCGCGGCGGUUUACUGCUCGAUGGCGACAGUUCGGGGCGGCCGUUUCGGCGGUUCGUCACGGCUGGCGUCGUUCCCGGUCUCUCACCCUCUGGACGCCCGUCGGUGCUCUUGACUGCAGUGCCGGCGGCGGCCAGGACGUUUACUUUGAAAAAAUUAGAGUGUUCCAAGCAGGCGCGUUCCGCCCGAAUAAUGGUGCAUGGAAUAAUGGAAUAGGACCUCGGUUCUAUUUUGUUGGUUUUCGGAACUAGAGGUAAUGAUUAAGAGGGACAGACGGGGGCAUUCGUAUUGCGGUGUUAGAGGUGAAAUUCUUGGAUCGCCGCAAGACGAACUACUGCGAAAGCAUUUGCCAAGAAUGUUUUCAUUAAUCAAGAA